Hevea brasiliensis (rubber tree) is the source of this 2045-nucleotide long non-coding RNA. RefSeq lists it as uncharacterized. The transcript is spliced from 3 exons. Lineage: Eukaryota; Viridiplantae; Streptophyta; Magnoliopsida; Malpighiales; Euphorbiaceae. The record is from RefSeq and is a predicted model, not a curated record.
UCUCCUCUCCUUCCCUCUCUUCUUCUUCUUUCUUUUUCCGGUGACCGGCCGGCGACCUCCCGAGCAGCUCCUCACCUGGCCGGCGACCCUCUGGCGACGGCCAUAACCACCAGAAACGGCGGCAAGAGAGGGAGAAGAGAGAGAAAACGCGCGCACAGUGGGCAGCAGCUUUCCGGCGUGAUUCCGGCUUCAUCCGACGUCCGAUCGAGGCGAUUCAGGUGGCGUUGGAAAGCUUGUUCCGAGACCUUUCUUUUGAUACCAAUUUUGCAACAAAUGGAGGUCGGAUGAGUGAGAUAUGGAGGAGAGAAGUUUCGGAUUUUUCAAGCUUUUUCGUCAGAUCUACGACGAUCCGACCGUUGGAUCGACAAUCCGAGACCACAUAUGGACUGAGGAAGAGGAGAGGAACAUGGUGGUAUGAUCAGAUCCGGCAAAUGUAGCCGGCGACCGGCGGCCGGCCACCGUGCGCGGUGGUUCCGGCGGUGGCUCCGACAGGCUAUGGAGGUGAUUCAACUUCCAGAGGCUUUCUCAUAAAUUUUUGGAAUUUUUAAGACACAGAUAAACUUCGGGUGAUCGAGGUCAGCUAUUUUUCUGCAUCCAGCAGCCACAAUAGUCAUCGGUGUACUGCCACAGGAGGAGUUAUUUUACAGAGCAACCUGUUUUCUUCCUCGCACGUUUAACGUCGAUUAUUUAAUUGUUUUACUAUCUUUUCUAAAUUUAAAAUCUAGAACUCCGCAUGUGAUAGUAAUAGUGUAGACCUUGUUAGAAAUUGUGUUAAUUUAAAAUUUUGAGACUAAUAAAUGAAGAUUUGUAUGGUAUUUAAACAGUUUGUAAAUGAGGUAACAGGGUUGAGCGAGGCUCCCCUUAUUUCAGUUUUUGAUGGCUAUCGGGUAGGGUUGACCCGAAUAAAAAUAUUUUAUUUUAUUUAAUUUUAUUUACAUAUUGGGCCUAAGUUUUUGGGCAUUGGUUAUAAAUUUGAAAACAGUAAGGCUUACUACGGGCCUCGGGGGCUUUAUGCCGGCCUAGGUCCUAGUGCCGGUCCGGCCCAUAGGUUGGGUCGUGACAAUAAGGUCUCGUACUAAAGCCAUUGAUCCAAAUAGAAAAUUAAGCCACCGAGGGGAAGGCUUUAACUACACCAUUUUGCCAACUUGAUCUAAUUGAUUGUUCAAAUGAGAAGUUUCAAAAUACACUGCGAAGAAUAGUACGAGAAACAAAUUUAUACUAAAACCAAAUAUUAAUGACAAGCAAUCCAAAAUCAAGGAUUAAACUUGAAUGAUUCAAGAUUUGGAUUCUUCUAUCCGGUAUUUAAAGAUCCUAAUACAUUUCAAGAAGUAAAAAAUAUAAGAAAUUGAAAAAAACCACACUUUUAGGCCUAAGCAUAAUUUUGAUUUUACAUUAUUAAAGGGUAUUUGAUGAAACUAAAGUAUUUGAGAGAAAUCUUUAUAUUUUCAUAUAUAAGAAAUUCUUUGUACAUGCUCCUAUUUAUAUACAAGUAAUUUAGGAUAAAUUUUGAUAACUAUUUCUGAACUUAUCUAAUUAUAACAUUACAGUCCCUCAACUUAAAAAUGUAAUAUAAAACCCCAUCAACUUUCAAAUUUUACACAGUAAAAUCCCUCUAACCUCCAAUUAUCAGUUUUUCAGUUAAACGCUGACCUAGACAGUUUCAACAUGAAGCUUAGUCAGUAUUUCUCUUUUCUUUCUUAAGCCAUGUGUAAAUUGAAUCAUUUUUCUCUCUAUAGACAGAAUAAUUUUUCAUGCGUGAAGAGAAUAAUUUUACACUUUGCAUAAGAGAAGAGAGAGAAAUAUUGAUUAAGUGCUAUGUGAAAGCUAUUUACAUCAGUUUCUAACUGAAAAAUCAGUAAUUGAAAGUUAGAAGGAUUUUACUGUGAAAAAUUUAAAAGUUUAGGGAGUUUUAUGCUACAUUUUAAAGUUAAAGGACUGUAGUGUUAUAACUAUAUAAGUUCAGGGACAGUUGUUGAAAUUUAUCCAAGUGAUUUAUUCUAAUAAGGAAAUUAAAGUAAAUAGGAAAUAAUAUUACAAUUCUAUUU